UGGCACGUUCUGUGUCAUGCCCUCUAAGU
RNAcentral lists this non-coding RNA (29 nucleotides) under Homo sapiens (human). Lineage: Eukaryota; Metazoa; Chordata; Mammalia; Primates; Hominidae. The record is from RNAcentral.